CUACGGGCUGCAGCAGUAGGGAAUUUUCGGCAAUGGGGGAAACCCUGACCGAGCAAUGCCGCGUGAAUGAAGAAGGCCUUCGGGUUGUAAAGUUCUGUUAAUGGGAAAGAAUGGUUGGUGUAGGAAAUGACACUAAUUUGACGGUACCCGUUUAGAAAGCCCCGGCUAAAUACGUGCCAGCAGCCGCGGUAAUACGUAGGGGGCGAGCGUUAUCCGGAAUUAUUGGGCGUAAAGAGUGCGUAGGCGGUUUAUUAAGUCAGUCGUAAAAGAUCUCAGCCUAACUGAGUAGGGCGAUUGAAACUGGUAGACUUGAGUAUGGUAGAGGUAAGUGGAAUUCCAUGUGUAGCGGUGGAAUGCGUAGAUAUAUGGAGGAACACCAAUGGCGAAGGCAGCUUACUGGGCCAGAACUGACGCUGAGGCACGAAAGCGUGGGGAGCAAACAGGAUUAGAUACCCCGGUAGUC
RNAcentral lists this ribosomal RNA (463 nucleotides) under uncultured bacterium. RNAcentral describes it as "partial 16S ribosomal RNA". It matches the Rfam family "Bacterial small subunit ribosomal RNA", at positions 339 to 795 of the family's 1533-position model. The record is from RNAcentral.